Molecule: ribosomal RNA, 253 nt
Filed under: uncultured bacterium
Lineage: Bacteria
Also listed under: 1 other name
Description: partial 16S ribosomal RNA
Rfam family: Bacterial small subunit ribosomal RNA
Source: RNAcentral
UACGGAGGGUGCAAGCGUUAUCCGGAUUCACUGGGUUUAAAGGGUGCGUAGGAGGGCAGGUAAGUCAGUGGUGAAAUCUUCGAGCUUAACUCGGAAACUGCCGUUGAUACUAUCUGUCUUGAAUAUUGUGGAGGUGAGCGGAAUAUGUCAUGUAGCGGUGAAAUGCUUAGAUAUGACAUAGAACACCAAUUGCGAAGGCAGCUCGCUACACAUAUAUUGACUCUGAGGCACGAAAGCGUGGGGAUCAAACAGG